This 430-nucleotide ribosomal RNA is filed under the name uncultured Acidobacteriota bacterium. Its description in RNAcentral is "bacterial SSU rRNA". It matches the Rfam family "Bacterial small subunit ribosomal RNA", at positions 1 to 452 of the family's 1533-position model. The record is from RNAcentral. Lineage: Bacteria; Pseudomonadati; Acidobacteriota.
UAGAGUUUGAUCCUGGCUCAGAAUCAACGCUGGCGGCGUGCCUAACACAUGCAAGUCGUACGAGAAAGUGGAGCAAUCCAUGAGUAAAGUGGCGACCGGGUGAGUAACACGUGACUACCUACCUUCUAGUGGGGGAUAACUCCGGGAAACCGGAGCUAAUACCGCAUAACAUCGCAAGAUCAAAGCAGCAAUGCGCUGGAAGAGGGGGUCGCGGCUGAUUAGCUAGUUGGUAGGGUAAUGGCCUACCAAGGCAAAGAUCGGUAUCCGGCCUGAGAGGGCGCACGGACACACUGGAACUGAAACACGGUCCAGACUCCUACGGGAGGCAGCAGUGGGGAAUUUUGCGCAAUGGGGGAAACCCUGACGCAGCAACGCCGCGUGGAGGAUGAAGUCCCUUGGGACGUAAACUCCUUUCGACCAAGACGAUAAU